AACGCUGGCGGCGUGCUACUACAUGUCAACUCGAACGCUUUUGUUUUCACCGGAGCUUGCUCCACCGAAAAUAAAAGAGUGGCGGACGGGUGAGUAACACGUGGGUAACCUGCCCUCAAGCGGGGGAUAACACUUGGAAACAGGUGCUAAUACCGCAUAACAAUCAGAGUCGCAUGAUUUUGAUUUGAAAGGCGCUUUUGCGUCACUUGAGGAUGGACCCGCGGUGCAUUAGCUAGUUGGUGAGGUAACGGCUCACCAAGGCCACGAUGCAUAGCCGACCUGAGAGGGUGAUCGGCCACACUGGGACUGAGACACGGCCCAGACUCCUACGGGAGGCAGCAGUAGGGAAUCUUCGGCAAUGGACGAAAGUCUGACCGAGCAACGCCGCGUGAGUGAAGAAGGUUUUCGGAUCGUAAAACUCUGUUGUUAGAGAAGAACAAGGGUGAGAGUAGAAUGUUCACCCCUUGACGGUAUCUAACCAGAAAGCCACGGCUAACUACGUGCCAGCAGCCGCAGGUAUACGUAGGUGGCAAGCGUUGUCCGGCAUUUAUUGGGCGUAAAGCGAGCGCAGGCGGUCUCUUAAGUCUGAUGUGAAAGCCCCCGGCUCAACCGGGGCAGGGUCAUUUGGAAACUGGGAGACUUGAGUGCAGAAGAGGAGAGUG
RNAcentral lists this ribosomal RNA (662 nucleotides) under uncultured bacterium. RNAcentral's name for it is "bacterial SSU rRNA". It matches the Rfam family "Bacterial small subunit ribosomal RNA", at positions 32 to 663 of the family's 1533-position model. The record is from RNAcentral.